GGCGUGGACCUGGAAGGUAGAAUUGACCGCUGGGAAUUGGUGGGUGCAGAGCGCCAGUGGCCCGUGGGAGCGUACGGACCGAGGGCUGGCUACGUAACGUAGAGGAGCUUCGUGGCAGCUGGGCUCGGCUGAGUCCGCGGGAGGCGGGCAAGAUGGCACUGGUUGGUGCCGGGGACAGUAGAGAGAUCGCUCGCACAACGCACACCAAGUUCGCACGCCUGGUGCUCGACGUUUUGCCCAGGCAGCUGCACAUGUGUUUGUUUCUCUCCUUUUUUUUAGAUCAGGCUUUGAGGUAUGUAGCAGGUAUGCGUUUCUAGAUCUUAUUUAACUUUUACUAUUGCAAAUGGAGGUAUGGGCUGAUGAUCAGAACAAUGUUCAUUUGACGGUCCGAACAAUAUUCAUUUGGUGGUUACCUUUAUCUUUUCUUUUUCUUGCGUGCUCACAUGCUCGCUCAAUUGGUCAGUACUGGUGAUGCAUCAUAUGUGCUGGUGUGUUACAACUAAGUAGCUGCUCUGCUCUCCGGAGAAACAUACCUACCUCCGUGCUCCGUCAAAGCGAGUAUUCUUCUUCUAUUGAUCCACCAAAUCAUCACAUGCUUCGUUGGUUCACCAGCGAGCGCAUGAGCUGCACUGGCGGCUGCUGCUUGCUUGCUACAACCUUUUUGCCGUUUUGCUGAAGCCGGCGUUGCCUAAUUGAUGCCAGAAACGCUGAAUACUCCGCGAGUCAGGAACGUGCAAACUAUACUUAAUGAAACCAUAUCCUUUGUCGAUAUCAUAUCGGAACCAUUUAAAAUUUUAAAUCAAGCAGGGCGGCUACUGCUUACGCUUUGUCAUCUAAAAAUCACACGAAAAGAAAUCUUAAACAACAGCUACAGGGUCCGAUGCAAGUUGGGUUCUGCUAUGGACAAGAGGGUUGUUGCCUGCUAAUGCUCCAUAAGCUUUCACCGAGUAUUAUUUUGGUUUUGGUGUGCGAAGAACCCCACGUCUUUUAAAUUAAGCUACCACAUGGCCAUCUGGGGCUUGAGCUCGUAAUCUCGAGGGGCAUUUCCUAAUGCAGUAGGACGCUGGACGCUUUCCUACAGUUUUUUUUUUUUCGAGACGGAGGCAAAAACCUUUGCCUCAGCUCA
Molecule: long non-coding RNA, 1126 nt
Filed under: Brachypodium distachyon (stiff brome)
Lineage: Eukaryota; Viridiplantae; Streptophyta; Magnoliopsida; Poales; Poaceae
Description: long non-coding RNA (BDIS_LNC005907)
Source: RNAcentral